AGCUCCGAUAGCGUAUAUUAAAGUUGUUGCAGUUAAAAAGCUCGUAGUUGAACUUCUGGCAUGAUGGCCGAUCCCACGGGACUCGUUGCUGUCUUUGUCAUCCCCUUUGAAUUAAAAACAUGAUCUUUGUUGCUCAGUUUGGUAUUCAAGGAAUUUACUUUGAAAAAUUAGAGUGUUUCAAGCAAGCGAUUCGCUGGAAUACAUUAGCAUGGAAUAAUAGAAUAUGACCUCUGUAUCAUUUAUUGGUCCAAUGUUUAGAGGUAAUGAUUAACAGGGACAGUUGGGGGCAUUAGUACUGCUUUGUCAGAGGUGAAAUUCAUUGAUUAUCGCAAGACUAACUUAUGCGAAAGCAUUUGCCAAGGAUGUUUUCAUUAAUCAAGACGAAGUUACG
Molecule: ribosomal RNA, 391 nt
Filed under: uncultured eukaryote
Lineage: Eukaryota
Description: SSU rRNA
Rfam family: Eukaryotic small subunit ribosomal RNA
Source: RNAcentral